UCGGCCAGGAGGUGGCCUUGCUGCACUUGGUUGUCGGCAUCGACCUCGCCUCGGUGUUGCAGCUCGUCUUCCUGCCUCGUGUUAUCGAGAUGGAUCGAUCAAAUCCCCCUGCCGAUGUUACUAAUCAGACGAAAACGAGGCCGAUCUAAUACUGAUCAAAUUGGUGAAGAAAAUAUUGAUCCUCCUGAACUAGCCCUUCAGAAGAGGCGUCAGAAAUAUGCCAGUUUACCUGAGGAGGAAAAGGAAAGGAGGCGUGCAAUGGCGAGAGAGAAUUAUAAACAUCGGAAAGAGAGUGAACGUUGCUUGGGCCCAUCGUCUACUUAUGUUGUCAUAACAACUGAAGCAACACUUGCUCAAAAUGAUGAUCAUCCUGGACAAAGUUCGCCGUGUGGUAAUACUAUUUUUAAGGUCUGAAUAUCUGUAGUAGUUUAUUCUUCUAUAUAUUACUCGGAGUAUAUAUAUCUUUUUCAGUGAUAUACCGGCUUCUAUUCAGGAUGAAAAUAUGAUGUCCAAUAUCAAUUUUAGUGAUACUAAUGAUAUUGGUAUUGCCUCCGAGAAUGGUGACGUGUGGCUCCAAGAAAUGGUUCUGGCAUUUAUACCUUUAAGGUUCAUGGACAGAUAUACCACAAAUUGGAUCAAUUAGUUCCUGGGGGUAACGGACCUCGUCAUAUGCAAUUAUAUUGAUCCCCUCAUCUGGAUACAAGGGUAAUGACGAAUGUGUUGUCUAUACUAAAAGACAAUCCAUAUGUACAUACGUUCAGGUGUUUAGGUGAAACUAAGGCUUUUGAUGAGUAUGCAAUUGAGUUGAACACAAGUAUUUCUGUGGACUAGAGAAGAUAUAAUGCACCCGCAAUGGAGCAAGUGGCAGCUAUAUGGGUUGAUGGAAGUGACAUUAAGCGUAAAUUUGAUCGGAGUAUUAUGUUGCACGGUAAAUCCGGUGAACCAUGCUACAUUAGAGCAUAUUAUGGGUGUUAUGAUCCUUUGGCAUACCCAUUUUUUUAUUCUGGUGGUGAAACUGGUUGGAAAGAUAAAAAGGUGCUGUUGGAAGAAUUUCUUGUGAAACAUUUUCCAAGGGUAAAAAGGAAGUACACGAGACGUAAGAAAUCAGUGUGCAGAUGCCAAAGUCAGUAGCCAGUUCGAGUACACGUAAGAUUAAAACUAAUCAGGCCGACAUUGCAUGCAUAAUUCUAUUGAAAAACGUGAAGGGGACAACGACAAUUAUGAUGAAGAUACUGUUGAAGCUGGUGAUGAUGAACGUAAUGGAUCAAGGCUUCACGUUAGUGCGCGAGAAUAUUAUUGCUAUAUAAUGCAGAUACGAAAUGGGGUGUUUGUGAUAAUGUUUUAUGGUGGUAGGCUUUUUCAACAGUGGAUAGUUGAUAUCUAUAUCAAAGUAGAAUCUAUGCGUCUUGAUUGGCAUUCAAGAUCAGAAAAUCAAGCCAUUAUCCGAGCUGAUCUUUACCAGGGCAUAAUGGACACGCUUGCCACUGGAGAGGUUAAUGGUUUACGUGCUGGAAAAAGGGUUGUCUUAUCUAAAAGUUUUCCUGGUAGUGAUCGUGAUGUGCAGGCAAGAUUUAUGGAUGGAAUGGCUUUGGUUGCUACGUAUGGACGACUAGAUUAUUUUGUCACAUGACUUGCAACCCAUAUUGGCCUGAGAUUACUGAACAAUUGUUGCUUGGACAAAAACCUCAAGACAGACCUGAUAUUGUUGCAAGGGUCUACCAUGCAAAACUUCUUGACUGCUCUGACAUUCAGCCCCAUCAUGCAUGUUUUUACACUUUAUGGAAAAAAUGUUGGUACUAAUAUUAAUAGUUUUGGUUUCAAAAU
Panicum virgatum (switchgrass) is the source of this 1824-nucleotide RNA transcript. RefSeq lists it as uncharacterized. The transcript is spliced from 8 exons. Lineage: Eukaryota; Viridiplantae; Streptophyta; Magnoliopsida; Poales; Poaceae. The record is from RefSeq and is a predicted model, not a curated record.